GUGUUUCCUUUAUGUUUUUUAGAUGUUGCAACAACAUGCUACUAGAUUGAUUCUUGUAAUACAAAGUUGAUUAUGGACAUCUUUUUCUAGUUUGCCUUUCUGCAAUCUUAUUUUCCAUAAAUUAUUCUUCUAACAAAUAUUUUAUCUCACACCAAAAUGUAUCUUCAAUAUAAUAUGCAGAUAGGUGGACAUGGUGUUCCUAAAU
Molecule: long non-coding RNA, 205 nt
Filed under: Mytilus galloprovincialis (Mediterranean mussel)
Lineage: Eukaryota; Metazoa; Mollusca; Bivalvia; Mytilida; Mytilidae
Source: RNAcentral